Long non-coding RNA from Callithrix jacchus (white-tufted-ear marmoset), 5637 nucleotides. RefSeq lists it as uncharacterized. NCBI's taxonomy places the organism in Eukaryota, Metazoa, Chordata, Mammalia, Primates, Cebidae. The record is from RefSeq and is a predicted model, not a curated record.
GCUCCCACAGGAACAGAACAUUCCACAGGAACAGAACAGAUUUAGAUUUGACAGAAAUGUGACUGCCUAUCAGGAUGGAAAGGAAUGACACUGAGCUAGCUGUAUUGUGUGGGAAGCUGGGAACUGCUUUCAGAAGUUCUGAAGACUGCGAUCCACAGAGGCAGGGGAGGAAAGAAAACCCUAAGGCCACCUGCCACGCAGCUCGGGAGCAUUCGCCCCUCCCCCCACCCCCACUUCCUACCCACCCCUGGCCCAGUGCAGGGUGGUGAGCCCGGCUCAGCCCUUGCUGUCCUUGCAUGAUGAGUCACUGUGGGAGAUGCCUGCUGCAGAGCGAACCUUCCCAAGUGGCCUGAAGGAACAAUGAGGCUCCCAGGGAGUCACAGCCACGUUCUUGUGUCCUUGAUCUGUUCAGUCACACUUCAGGUCCCUGGAGGAUGUUUGUGUUGGCCUGGCACACCCAGCAUGAGGCUGAUUAAACAUGCUUCAUGAGCAUGCGUGUGCGCGCGGGCGCGUGGGCGCUCACACAGAGGUGUACUCAGCAGCCACAAGGUUUUAGGCACUUUGCCUGAGGUGUGUUUCUCAACAAUGACAGGUUAAAACAGAAGCCCUGGGAAUGACAGGACCUUCUGCACUGGUAAUAGUGGAUCAGAGCAGCUCAGUGUUUGCGUGGAAUGCACCUUAAAGCUUUCUAUGUAGCAGGUUCCCGUUCCUGCAUCUAUCCUGCAGAAGCUGGGUGACUUUCCUAGGGUGCGGCAGUAUCCCUGCAUUGCAAAGAAGCUGGUCGAGAAAACUUGAGAUUUUUCUUCCAAUCCUGAAAAUCCGUAAUUCUAAAUAGCCCCCUCGUAUUACAGUUGAAGAAUCAAAGACUCAGAAACGUUACUUUCCCACAGUACUUUGUAGAGAUGUGGGCAGAUGGUCUCUGGGGCCCAGAUACCUCCCUGAGUUAGCUGUAGGGACACUCAGACCCUGCUGCACACGCUAUGGGCUUUCUCCUGGACGCUUAUCCACGGGGUCGGGCUGCAUUCCGCCUGGCCAUGAGGGAACAGAUUAGUACAGGAAGUGCUAGAACAGCAACAGAGCCCACAGGAGACUGUAUCCUGGCUAGAAAUUCCAGAAACCAGGCUGGGCGUGGUAGCUCAUGCUUAUAAUCCUAGCACUUUGGGAGGUCGAGGUGGGUGGAUCACCUGAGGUCAGGCAUUGGAGACCAGCCUGGCCAACGUGGUGAAACCCUUCCUCACAAAGGGUGGGGACAUCAUUUUGCAUUCCCAGCUGCCGCUGCUGUUCCAGGUGAGUCUAACAGGAGAUGGGAUGGAGCGUGGAGCCCAGAGUAGGGAAAGGAAGGCCAGGCAAGGGGAGAGAGCUGCCAAGGCCUUCCAGCUCUUCUUUCCCCCCUUUUUUUAAUUAAAAAAAAAAGUUUUAAAUUUGGUUUUUAAUCAAUUUAUUUUUUUGAGAUGGAGACUCACUCUGUUGGCCAGGCUAGAGUGCUGUGGACAACUUCUCAGUUCACUGCAAGCUCCACCUCCCAGGUUCAAGCAAUUCUGCUUUAGCCUCCGGAGUAGCUGGGAUUACAGGUGCCUGCUACUAUGCCCGGCUAAUUUUUUGUAUAUUAGUAGAGACAGGGUUUCACCAUGUUGGCCAGGCUGGUCUCGAACUCCUGACCUCGUGAUCCACCUGCCUCGGCCUCCCAAAGCGCUGGGAUUACAGGUGUGAGCCACCGUACCUGGCCUCUUCUUUCCCCUUGAAGUCAGUUCUUCCCCUUGGAAGCUUCUAGAGAUAGAUAUAUAAAAUGCUCUCCCUGACAAAACAGUGGACCCAGAUCAUUUCUGGGGAGCAAAAGUGCUGAACCCACAAUAUUCAGGUGCCCCUGGGCUUGUUCCACCCCUGCUGCCCUUACUCUAGGAGAGGCACACCUGUGAGGAGCUGAUCUGAGUUCUGCAGUGAAGGAGGAAGCUGUCACUCUUCCCCUUUGCCCUCCCAGGAGCAGGGACCCUGGGGCAUCUGGGACCUGUCAGGCACAGGGACGGCUCUGGUAUUUCAUGGCAGCACAAUGCCCUGCAUGCCUGAAAUUCUGACACGUCCACUCCACCAGCCUUCUGUGGCUGUCCCUGUGACCUGGAGACUGUCCUCGGCCUCUUCAAGCCUGUAGCCUCCACAAGCAGUACUCAGCCCAGCAGGGCCUAGAAGAAUGGGGAACUGGGGGCUGAGUGCUGGGAAAGGAACCUGGGUGGAAAUUUCCAUGACUCUUCUGCUCAAGCAAGGCUGCAGCAACAUGUCAGCAGAGACGGGGCCCAGCUCACAAAGGAUCACUGUUUCUCUCUCUGGGCUCUUUAUCAACUAUUGCCCCACCCCGAGCCAGGGCCGUAAACCUCCUCAGUCCAGCCUCCUCUGUUCCUGCCCCCCCGCCCCCCCACCGCUGUUUGUGGCCACAGAUCCCUACUUUCCCUUCUUGCACUUAUCUCUCUCCAUUGCUCCCACACUCCUGGCACUGGAAGUCCCCCAACUUCAGGAGCAAGGUCAAGACCCCUUUCCUUCCCCAUUGAACGGUCAGGAACCUGCUGGAAGCUGUUCUGAACCAGAGAAGGACGAAAAUAGCUGCCAAAGAUGUUGCCAUAGCAACUGCUUUCCUUCCUGACCUCCUUGGAAGUUAGUAGUUGACUCUGUAGUUGAAGUACUUUUCUGAAGGUGGAAGAAGGUGUCAGCCAUUUUACAUUGACCUAACUCUUCUUUUGAAGGUGAACUCCCUCAUUUUCCUAAGUAGUCAAGGAAUUCCUGUGCCUCUACCCACGGCUUUGGUUACCAACCCACCCCUGGGGGCCUUGGUUUCUUUCUGUGAAAUGGGAUAUUCAUUCCAGCACUCACUACCUUCUAGGCUGGAGUAAGGCUCCAACUUUGCAAAAGCACCUAGUAAACCGCAAAGCUCCAUGCACAUCCAACGGCCAGUACUUGACAACACCGAUACUCCCUAGGGCUAAUGGCUCUGUAAAGUGGAGGAUGGGGCAGCUGACUUGUUCAACAAGCCCAGAGCCCCAGGACAGGGGGCCCCUUUGGAGUUUGAUUCCUGUUCUGUCACCAAAAGCCCCUGGGGACCUUCAGCAGGUCAUGCAGGCCCCCAAGGACUUGUCUUCUCCUUCUGUGAAAGGACCCUCUCUAGUUAUCUCAAGAGGCCCUGGGGCCAGGCAUGGUGGCCGAGUAGUGAGAAUUUGAGACCAGACUGACCAACAUGGCGAAACCCCAUCCCUACUAAAAAUACAAAAACUAGCUGAGUGUGGUGCUUCGCGCCUGUAGUACCAGCUACUCAGGAGGCUGAGGCAGGGGAAUCACUUGAACCCGAGAGGCAGAGGUUGCAGUGAGCCGAGAUCAUGCUACUGCACUCCAACCUGGACAACAGAGCGAGCAAGACUCCGUCUCAAAAUAAAGAGGCCCCUGGCUGGGCUCAGUGGCUCACACCUGUAAUAGCAGCACUUUGGGGGGCUGAGGCAGGUGGAUCAUCUGAGGUCGGGAGUUCGAGACCAGCCUGACCAACAUGGAGAAACCCCAUCUCCACUAAAAAUACAAAAUUAGCCAGAUGUGGUGGCACAUGCCUGUAAUCCCAGCUACUCGGGAGGCUGAGGCAAGAGAAUCACUUGAACCCGGGCGGUGGAAGUUGCAGUGAGCUGAGAUUGCGGCACUGCACUCCAGCCUGGGCAAAGAGAACAAAAUUCCAUCUCAAAAAAAAAGGAGGCCCCUUCCAGCCCUAUUCCACGACCCUAAGUUAAAGGCCGGCCUGCUUUCCAUAACAAAUCUGCGAACUUCUCAAGUACUUUCUACAUGGCAGGCACUGUGGGCACAUGCAUUCGCUCACUUUUCACAGAAGACAGCUGUUGUGAUUACAGCACCUACCCAUUUUACAGAUGAGGAAAUGGAGGCCCAGAGAAGUUAAGUAAAUUUUCCCAAGGUUGCACAGCCACUAAGUAGCAAGGUCAAGACUUAAAGCCUGGUUAGUCCACACAGCUGCCUUUCUAGGUACUGCAAUGAUGAUGGAAACAACAUGGGUCAGUUCAUAGCAGGUAAAACGUGGAGUGGAGCAAACCCUGGGCGAGGCACCAGCAACCCUGGGUUCUUCCAGCAAGUUGCUCUUCCUCUUUUGGCCUCAGUUUCCUCGUCUGUAAAAAUAAGAGGUUAACCUAGAUCUCUGAGGGCCUUUCUAUGCUAAACACUCUCAGUCUUUGAGAGAAACCAGCCCAGAGAAGACAAGCGCCAGCUUGCCUGAGUCACAGAGCGAUCAAGCACAGCCUUACGGGCUACCCACUAGCUUUGAUCUCAACCUUUGAAACAAACAAGGUUUAGGAAGAGUUGUUUGAAGCUAGGGCCUGUGAACCAGAACCAGUUUGUGGGAGUGUCUGCUGUGACUUUUCCAGAAAACUAACUACAUCCCAUUUUAAGAGGGUCCUUUAUUCAGAGAUUAAGCCUGUGAAAAGAAAUAAAUCUUGGAAUUCCAAAAUCACUAAGCCAAGGGAAAAGUCGAGCUGGACUAUGUCAAGCAAAUCUCGGUCCCAUUUACCCCUCGGUAAGAUAGCUACAAAGAUAAGAAAGCUACAGACCGCCCUCAUGAUUUGCCCCCAAGGAAAUUUCUUGUGGACAAAGGACAGACAGAAUUCAAAGUCUUCUCACGAGACUGAUGCAUAUCUGACUGCUUCCCCUGCUCUCUUAUUUCACUAUGCCAGACUAAGGCAUGAGUGACUAUUCCUCAGCCUGCCUCUCAAAAGUAAAUUGCAUAUUCAGUGAAAGGCUAAUCAGAAACUCAAAAGAAGGCCUGGCUGGAUGGCUCACGCCUGUAAUCCCAGCACUUUGGGAGGCUAAGGUGGGUGGAUCAAGAGGUCAGGAGAUCCAGACCAUCCUGGCUAAAACGGUGAAACCCUGUCUCUACUAAAAUAAGAAAUUAACCAGGCAUGGUGGCAGGUGCCUGUAAGCCCAGCUACUCAGGAGGCUGAGGCAGGAGAAUUGCUUGAACCCAGGCGGUGGAUGUUACAGUGAGCCAAGAUCACAGCACUGCACUUCAGCCUGGGUGACAGAACAAAACUCUUUCUCAAAAGAAAAAAGGCCAGGCGCGGUGGCUCAUGCCUGUAAUCCCAGCACUUUGGGAGGCUGAGGUGGGUGGAUCACGAGGUCAAGAAAUUGAGACCAUCCUGGUCAACAAGGUGAAACUCUGUCUCUACUGAAAAUACAAAAAAUUAGCUGGGCAUGGUGGCGCGUGCCUGUAAUCCCAGCUACUCAGGAGGCUGAGGCAGGAGAAUUGCCUGAACCCAGGAGGCGGAGGUUGCAGUGAGCUGAGAUCGCCCCAUUGCACUCCAGCCUGGCUAACAAGAGCGAAACUCCGUCUCAAAAAAAAAAAAAAGAAAAAGAAAAACUCAAAAGAGUGCAACUGUUUGUCUCUUAUCAACCUACCUGGAAGCCCUGUCGUCAUCUCAAGUUGUCCCACCUUUCUGGACCAAACCAAUGCACCGUCUUAAACAUACUGAUUGAUGUCUCACGUUUCCCUAAAGUGUAUAAAACUGAGCUGUUUCCCGACCACCUUGGGCACAUGUCAUCUAGACUUCCUGAGGCUGUGUCAUGGGUGUGUCCUUAACCUUGGCAAAAUAAACUUUCAAAAUUGGUUGA